Long non-coding RNA from Malurus melanocephalus (red-backed fairy wren), 3067 nucleotides. RefSeq lists it as uncharacterized. The transcript has 3 exons. The record is from RefSeq and is a predicted model, not a curated record. NCBI's taxonomy places the organism in Eukaryota, Metazoa, Chordata, Aves, Passeriformes, Maluridae.
UUGGCCUAGAGCCAGGGCACGGCUGGAGCUGACGGGUGAUCCGGCUUCUCAGCCGCGCUCCCCGCGGCGCUCAUUCAGCGGUGCCCCCAACGGAUGCUUUAAGCAAGGCUUUCGUGGGGACGUGCUCGUCAUCCCUGCCCAGGCCGAGUUGGGGUGCCCGGAGGCCUUUAACACAGGGAAACAAAAGCGCCUUCGGUGCGAAGUACCAGCUGUGUAGCGGUUUUGAGGCACUAAAUACCGCUGAUCUCUGUCUAAACUCUCGUCUAAGCCCUGCUUAGGAAGCUUAGGAGCUGUUUGUGAGGAUGGUGAGGUAAAGCCCCGAGCUUCGCUAAUGCCCUGACAUGGAGCAUAUGCAGGCCUGCUGGGCUGCGCGUCAGGGGUGACACGGUGACACCAGGCCUGUCCUGYGAGCCAGAGCACUGCUGCUGCUCUGCCCCAGAUAAAAUGUGCUGUGGGUGCUACUAAGAGAUUCUGGAGUGAGUACAAGCAGAUGAGCAUAAACAGGGAAUUAGUAAUUUGCAGCACAGAGACUUUAUAUGUUGCCCAGCAAAACUAGGCAGGUAGGAAUCGCAGCAUAUCAUAGAAUAUACUGAGCUGGAAGGGACCCAUCAGGAUCUUCGAGUCCAACCCUCGGCCCUGCACAGGACACCCCAAGAAUCACACCAUGUGCCUGGGAGCGUUGUCCAAACUGAAUUGAAUGCAAGUCCCUUCUCAAAAUCAUGURUAUAUUGCUGACAAUUUGUAGCUUCUGGUCUCAGUGAGAAACAACAUGUCUCGGUUCAUGCUGGUUUACUGCCAGGGCAGCACCUGUAAGUGUGUGGAAAGAAAAGAAUGAGUUGGCCCACUAUCUGUUUGUUAUCUGAACCCUGAAUUUAAAUUACUGGCAACAGAAAUAACACAAUCUGAUUCAGUCUGAAACAAAUAGCCACAUAGUUGCAAUCAGGAGACGACUCUAAAAAUUGUUUCAUAGCACUUCGUAGUUACCUCUCCUGUCUAAUUCUUGAUACUUAAAACGUUGUUGCAGAUUAACCAUGUGCUGGCUAAGUUAAUUGUCUGUACAUCAAGAUUCCAAACCUGUCUCAGGACUCUAUGUAAAUUAGUCUCUGGAGAUAAAUUUGUGAGACGUGUAGUUUUAAGUUAUUUCAAAUGGGCUCGUCUGCAAUGACUACUUUCUACAGUCAAACACCUGAGUCAGAUCGGUCCUUUUUUGUAAUGUAGUCAAAAUGAUGAAGUGGCAUCCAACCUUAAAAUUUUUACCACUUGUGCCAGUGGGAUUUAUGUCAAGUUUGGUUUCUUCUUCUCCMUUACAGAAUGUAAACUGGUGCUUCUGUUACACAGAAAACCAGCAAACCACAGCAAACCAGUUGUCAGUAUCCAUCCCAGGUUGUUUCUCCCAAUUUCCUGGAAAAGUGCUGUAACCACUGAAUUGUUACCUAGAAGGCUGCAGGCAGAUCUGCUGUUUCCAUGUUUCUGGGAGAAUCCCGACAAGUCAAACUGUCACCAAAAUAUGAAGUUUUACAGUAUUUUCAAUCAAGAGGAAUAAUUUCUCAGGUAAUCUGAAAAUGUUGGGUAGKGGUUGCUUUGAUGAUGACAGUCUUAAAGAAAAAUAGUAAUUUCAAACUUGUUUUACUGGUUGUAGACUCUCCACAUUUUCUUUGGAUUUCCAUGAAUUUUUCAUGGACUAUAACUCGCUCUUACCAUUAGAAUUUCAGGUGCAGAUGGCGUGGUUUCCAUAGACCUGCUAUGAGCCAUGUGCSACAGAUUCAAUCCAUAGACUUUAAGUUGGCAUUUGGCAUUGUACUAAAGCCACCAGUCUGUUCUGCAGUGAGGGCCAAGCCUCACUGAAAAUCCCAAUUUCUCAUUCUCAUGUCAACACAUUUGCCACUUUGUUGAAGAUAUUUUGCUAUUUUUGGUAGAAUAUAAUUGGAGAUACAAAACAUAUUUUAAAAAGUUUGUAAAAUUCUAAACCUACAUUGUCAGCACUGAAAGUAUUUCAGAUAUCUGAACUCUCCUUUAAUUCUCCUCAUAUAUUUUUCAUGCUUCCAGAAAACCUGAGUACUGUUUUAACUGCCUUUUCCAUUAAAAUGACCUUUUAAUUUGUUGGAAGUACAUCCUAAAUUUGAUCUGUUCCAAACACUUGUUCAGCAAAACUCACUGAUGUCUCUCCAUUAGUGGACCCAAGUUCAUUACAAGAAAAACAUAAAUGAACUCUCUGUGGAAUUUUCCAAGAUUUCUGGAGAGGAAAUGCAAUAUCCUCUUUGCAGCACAGAAUGAGUAGAUUUCCAGUCUCAGAUUUGCUACCAACUUUCCUGURUAACUUUGGACAACUCACUAAAGUUCUGCUGCCUAUUAUCUUGCUUUGUAAAAGAAGCUAAUAUUACCUUGCCACACAAUAAUUUGACAAGUUUGAGUGACUACUUGCAAAGUACUCUGAAAAAGUCACAUGGAAACUGUUACUGAAGUCCACAGCUCUGCUAGCCAAAAAGGAUAUUUACAAUAGAUCCAUGUUUCAGGUAGUGAAAUCAAAAUGUUCAAGUAUWUAGCCAGAUGAGACCAAGUCAGUUCUAAAAUUAAAUGCAGGAGGUAUUUUUUGACCUUUAAACAGAAAUUAUAUAAGCACUCUUAGGUUAUAAAUAGUCCUUUGUUUUCCUUCUCUUUGUCUAACACUCAGAAAAAACACAGGGUUAGUUGUUUGUUGUAAAGAGAUAGGGCAAUGCUUUAGAGUGGAAACAAUUGUGCACUGUUCUUUAUUUAUACAAUUCCUAUAAAGUUUGUAACUGGCAUUUGUUGCAUUGCUUAGCACAUUUUUAUGUUCAAAUGGCUACAGAAAUAAAGUUUCUAUUCCGGAAAAUGACAACAGAAGAAGAAAAUAAAAACAUAUAUCAGUCCAUGUCAAGCAUGAAAGUUUCUUUCCUCUUUCCUAUUUUGAUAUGUCUGAAGAGGAGAAAAGCCAGUGCUAGACUGUUGUCAAACUGACAUGUAAACACUUUAAUAUUAUUCCCUAUUUUUAUUAUUAAUCUUCAGAAGUAUAUCAUAAAUGGGUCCACCUUUAAAUGAAAGUAUUCAU